UUAUAGUAUUUUCAUCAGCCAUCAGCUCUUUGAUAAAAACCUGUGAAUUCUGUGAUGUAGUUUUUGUUUGAUUCAUUUGUGGUUUUUAAUUUAUCCUAAGAGCUUCUAGUAUCCCAGCAUUGUUUUCAUUUUGUCUUCAAGUGUUCAUUCUACAAGAAGCAAAACUUUUACCACUUGGUGGUGCUGGUGGAUAAUAUGAAAACCAAAUUGUUUCUGGAGCUUAUGCUGAGAAAGCUGGUUAUGAGUUCAACUUCAGGUUUCAAAUUUCUAAAAAUGCAGACUUACAAUUUUAUGAAGUAUUCAAGUAUAUCUUUCAACUGCAUAAGCAUGAAUGAAGAAUUAGUCUCUGCUACAGAUAUUUUUCGUAUUAUGUAUUACCCAAGAGCAUGUCCAUGGAUUUCUUAGGCCCGGAGUUAACCUGGGCUAUAGCGCUCCACAGGGGGUGUGAAAUGGAAUACCUACAUGGAAAGGAUUUUCUAUGAUAACACGAAAAUUUUCAGUUUUCACUUCACAUCAAAAAAGAGAACCCAGCCGUUACAUAUUCUUUGUCACAUUGGUAGGCACUUACAUUAUUAACAUCUUUGACAUGGAAAAAUAGGCAGCCUGAGGGCCCUAAAUUCUGCUUGGGUAUAGAUAAAAAGAAUAAUCACUUAACUCUAUUCUUGCACAACAACUCUUUUAAAGAUAAAGGAACAGAUGACCACAAAGCUUAUUUGUAACUGUACAUGCCCAUUCAACCUCAGGGUCAUAUGCUACUUGAUUUGAGUUUCCAUCAAUGCUUUUUAGUUAUUGUAAAUGGAUUUGAUAACAAUGAGGAUAGUGAAAAAUUGACUCAUUACAAAACGCAUGCAAAAGGGCUACACUGGACACAGUUCUAAAAAUACCAUUGACAUUAAUGGAACUCAAUCAUUCACAUAAACAAGAUUUAUCUCAAUGGAUUUAUGUAAAUUUCAAAACAUGCCCUACCAUUAGAAUUUAAACUUUUAUGCUUAUUCUGUUGAUAUUAACUAUUUUUAGCACUAAAAUGGAGUUUCUUUUUCAGUUAUAAUAUUUUAUUAUCAUUCUUUUAUUUUUGUAGAUACAGGAUAAACAAUUAUCUUUACUUGAUCAAUCAACUUUUUUCCUAAG
RNAcentral lists this long non-coding RNA (1128 nucleotides) under Oryctolagus cuniculus (rabbit). RNAcentral's name for it is "lncRNA (ENSOCUG00000030048.1)". Lineage: Eukaryota; Metazoa; Chordata; Mammalia; Lagomorpha; Leporidae. The record is from RNAcentral.